Molecule: ribosomal RNA, 230 nt
Filed under: uncultured bacterium
Lineage: Bacteria
Description: partial 16S ribosomal RNA
Rfam family: Bacterial small subunit ribosomal RNA
Source: RNAcentral
GUAAGCGUGCGCGAGGCGUUUGUAAGACUGUCGUGAAAUCCCCGGGCUCAACCUGGGAAUGGCGAUGGUGACUGCAAGGCUAGAGUUUGGCAGAGGGGGGUAGAAUUCCACGUGUAGCAGUGAAAUGCGUAGAUAUGUGGAGGAACACCGAUGGCGAAGGCAGCCCCCUGGGUCAAAACUGACGCUCAUGCACGAAAGCGUGGGGAGCAAACAGGAUUAGAUACCCUGGU